GUACGCUGGCGGCACGCCUAACACAUGCAAGUCGAACGAAGUAGCAAUACUUAGUGGCAGACGGGUGAGUAACAUGUAGGUAUCUGCCCUUUGGCCUGGAAUAACACGAGGAAACUUGUGCUAAUACCGGAUAAGUCUUUACGGAGAAAGCUUUAUGCACCAUUGGAUGAGCCUGCACUUGAUUAGUUUGUUGGUGGGGUAAUGGCCUACCAAGACUGUGAUCAAUAGCUGAUUUGAGAGGAUGAUCAGCCACAUUGGGACUGAGACACGGCCCAAACUCCUACGGGAGGCAGCAGUGGGGAAUCUUGCACAAUGGAGGAAACUCUGAUGCAGCGAUGCCGCGUGAGUGAAGAAGGCCCUUGGGUUGUAAAGCUCUUUCGUCGGGGAAGAAAAUGACUGUACCCGAAUAAGAAGGUCCGGCUAACUU
This 427-nucleotide ribosomal RNA is filed under the name uncultured bacterium. Its description in RNAcentral is "bacterial SSU rRNA". It matches the Rfam family "Bacterial small subunit ribosomal RNA", at positions 31 to 503 of the family's 1533-position model. The record is from RNAcentral.